RNAcentral lists this ribosomal RNA (301 nucleotides) under uncultured bacterium. Its description in RNAcentral is "partial 16S ribosomal RNA". It matches the Rfam family "Bacterial small subunit ribosomal RNA", at positions 509 to 807 of the family's 1533-position model. The record is from RNAcentral.
CAGUCGCCGCGGGAAUACGUAGGUGGCAAGCGUUGUCCGGAAUUAUUGGGCGUAAAGGGCUCGCAGGCGGUUUCUUAAGUCUGAUGUGAAAGCCCCCGGCUCAACCGGGGAGGGUCAUUGGAAACUGGGAGACUUGAGUGCAGAAGAGGAGAGCGGAAUUCCACGUGUAGCGGUGAAAUGCGUAGAGGUGUGGAGGAACACCAGUGGCGAAGGCGACUCUCUGGUCUGUAACUGACGCUGAGGAGCGAAAGCGUGGGGAGCGAACAGGAUUAGAUACCCCCGUAGUCCCUGUCUCUUAUAC